This 103-nucleotide microRNA precursor is filed under the name Pelobates cultripes (western spadefoot toad). The record is from RNAcentral. Lineage: Eukaryota; Metazoa; Chordata; Amphibia; Anura; Pelobatidae.
CGGCACUCCAGACGUUGUGGACUACAUCCCCCAUGAUGCUCUUACACCCAUAAUGCUGGCAAAGCAUCAUGGGGGGUGUAGUUUCAAAACAUCUGGAGUUCCG